AGAUAUUUUAAACACAAAAAUAUUCGCCAGAGAAUUACGAGCUAAACAUGCUUAAAACUCUAAGGACUUGGCGGUACCUCAAACCCACCUAGAGGAGCCUGUUCUAUAAUCGACAAUCCACGAUUCACCUCACCAUCUCUUGCCAACUCCGCCUAUAUACCGCCGUCAAGCUUACCUUAUGAGAGAUAAAAAGUAAGCAAAAUAAUCUAAACAAUUAAUAAAUCAGGUCAAGGUGUAGCUUACUGAGAUGGAAGAAAUGGGCUACAUUUUCUAUACUAGAAAUAACUACGGAAAGAUACCCUGAAAUAGGUUCUACAAGCAGGAUUUAGCAGUAAACUGGGAAAAGAGAGCCCAA
This 355-nucleotide ribosomal RNA is filed under the name Kinosternon alamosae (Alamos mud turtle). RNAcentral describes it as "partial 12S ribosomal RNA". It matches the Rfam family "Bacterial small subunit ribosomal RNA", at positions 875 to 1361 of the family's 1533-position model. The record is from RNAcentral. Lineage: Eukaryota; Metazoa; Chordata; Testudines; Kinosternidae.